RNAcentral lists this ribosomal RNA (1267 nucleotides) under Triticum aestivum (bread wheat). Its description in RNAcentral is "partial small subunit ribosomal RNA". Lineage: Eukaryota; Viridiplantae; Streptophyta; Magnoliopsida; Poales; Poaceae. The record is from RNAcentral.
AUGACGGAUGGGCUCGCGUUGUGUGCUUGUUGCCUAGGUUCUUUGUCCCUGCGUGUAGGAAGUAUUGGCCAAUCUGCUCCACGCGUUCCGCAUCCAAUCCUACCCUCGCCUCGUCCCACUCCCACUUCAGCCGCCAGACAAACCCUAGCUCCCUUUCCUAUCCACACAACCUCUUCCUCCCCGCAUCACCACAGCUGCCGCUGUGGAGCCUCGCGGACGCCUGCUAUUACUCCUCCCUCGUCUCUGUCUGGUCGCCCUCUCGUGCUCCACCAUGCAGCCGCCUCUUCCUCCUCUAUUCCCUCCUACCGUGGUUCCGGAUCGGGUGCAGGCCGUCAUACUGGAGAGCAUGAGCGUCAAGGUCUUAAUGGUGGGGUGGAGAUGCAGGGGAGGGGUUGCAAGAGAAGGAGCUCAAGUUGGUUCACGGUUUGCCUUUGCAUCCUCUCUACCCACUUCCCUCACUCACGCCUCCCCCUUUUCUCAUGGAUGAGGGCUCGGCUGCAGGUUUGGGAUGGAAUUGUUGGAUAUCCAAAUGUUUGUGAAUUAUCCUUGAUUAAUUGCUUGCUAAAACAAAGAAUGCAUCCAGCAGCACCUCGACCAGGUGUCACAAGAGAACUGAACAGAUUGAGAACUCAAGAAGUAGAACAACUGUGUUUCACUUCUUCAGAUGAUUAUAUGAAGGAUGGAAGCUUCGAAUGGCUAGCAGAACCGAGGCCGCAGGGACACCGUCGCAUUGAGGUAGUGCCAUGGCCUGCCACAGGCUUUGACUCGGUGUUGCGUGAUGGAAGAGCAGUGGUAAAGUUCGACAGCAUUGAAGCGAGAUGUGAGAUCCCAGCGCUCCAAAUGAUGGGUCGUGGCCGUUGGAGGGCCAACAGAGGACAAGGGCUAACAACCGGUGGUGGAGGGAGAGUCUGAGAAAUCAUGAGCUUUUUCCUUAUGAAAAGUGAUAAAGUUACAACAUAGUUUUCUCAAAGGUGUGCAUCAGUGCAGAUUGAGCAAGGCACAAUCUGAGAAGAAAAACAAAAAAUUAGAAACAGUGCAUCAUGUGUAUGUUUGUGAGCGGUGCCGUUGGGGGCCUGGUUGUGGCGCAGCCCUUCGGCGUGGUGCCCUCUUGCGUUGCCGCUAUGGUCGCCUCACGUUGGACGGGAGGAGAUAAGUCAAUCCCCAAUUAAGAUGCACAAUUAAGAUCCCCAAUUAAAUUGGUCACAUCAUUAUGGAAGGGGAAUGAUUGGAUAACAAACUUUAUAGAUUUAGUAUCAUAUCAUUCAUU